Molecule: long non-coding RNA, 173 nt
Organism: Amblyraja radiata (thorny skate)
Lineage: Eukaryota; Metazoa; Chordata; Chondrichthyes; Rajiformes; Rajidae
Exons: 3
Source: RefSeq, a predicted model, not a curated record
UAGCAAUUCCACCCCACCUCCUCUUCCUUUCUGUCUAUCCUUCCUAAAUAUUGAAUACCCCUGCAUGUUCAGAUCCCUGGUUACCCUGGAGCUAUGUCUCCGUAAUUCCUACUAUAUCAUAUUCCUUAACUACUAACUGCACAUUCAAUUUAUCCACCGUAGAGGAGGAGUUU